Molecule: ribosomal RNA, 255 nt
Filed under: uncultured bacterium
Lineage: Bacteria
Description: partial 16S ribosomal RNA
Rfam family: Bacterial small subunit ribosomal RNA
Source: RNAcentral
UACGAAGGGGGCUAGCGUUGUUCGGAUUUACUGGGCGUAAAGCGCACGUAGGCGGAUCGUUAAGUCGGGGGUGAAAUCCUGGAGCUCAACUCCAGAACUGCCUUCGAUACUGGCGAUCUUGAGUCCGGAAGAGGUGAGUGGGAACUCCUAGUGUAGAGGUGGAAUUCGUAGAUAUUAGGAAGAACACCAGUGGCGAAGGCGGCUCACUGGUCCGGUACUGACGCUGAGGUGCGAAAGCGUGGGGGAGCAAACAGG